GACGAACGCUGGCGGCGUGCUUAACACAUGCAAGUCGAGCGGUAAGGCCCUUUCGGGGGUACACGAGCGGCGAACGGGUGAGUAACACGUGGGUGACCUGCCCUCAGCUCUGGGAUAAGCCUGGGAAACCGGGUCUAAUACCGGAUAUGACUCCAUGACGCAUGUUGUGGGGUGGAAAGCCUUGUGCGGCUGAGGAUGGGCCCGCGGCCUAUCAGCUUGUUGGUGGGGUGAUGGCCUACCAAGGCGACGACGGGUAGCCGGCCUGAGAGGGCGACCGGCCACACUGGGACUGAGACACGGCCCAGACUCCUACGGGAGGCGAGCGAGUGGGGAAUCUUGCGCAAUGGGCGAAAGACCUGACGCAGCGACGCCGCGUGAGGGAU
Molecule: ribosomal RNA, 383 nt
Filed under: uncultured bacterium
Lineage: Bacteria
Description: bacterial SSU rRNA
Rfam family: Bacterial small subunit ribosomal RNA
Source: RNAcentral